RNAcentral lists this transfer RNA (34 nucleotides) under Haloxylon ammodendron. RNAcentral describes it as "partial tRNA-Leu". RNAcentral also lists the same sequence under 5 other names. The record is from RNAcentral. Lineage: Eukaryota; Viridiplantae; Streptophyta; Magnoliopsida; Caryophyllales; Amaranthaceae.
GACUUAAAAUCCGUCGACUUUUAAAAUCGUGAGG